AGUGGCGAACGGGUGAGUAACACGUGAGCAACCUGCCCUUCAGAGGGGGACAACAGUUGGAAACGACUGCUAAUACCGCAUAAGACCACGGUGUGGCAUCACACAGAGGUCAAAGGAGAAAUCCGCUGAAGGAUGGGCUCGCGUCCAAUUAGCUAGAUGGUGAGGUAACGGCCCACCAUGGCGACGAUUGGUAGCCGGACUGAGAGGUUGAUCGGCCACAUUGGGACUGAGACACGGCCCAGACUCCUACGGGAGGCAGCAGUGGGGAAUAUUGCACAAUGGAGGAAACUCUGAUGCAGCGACGCCGCGUGAGGGAAGAAGGUCUUCGGAUUGUAAACCUCUGUUGUCAGGGACGAUAAUGACGGUACCUGACGAGGAAGCCACGGCUAACUACGUGCCAGCAGCCGCGGUAAAACGUAGGUGGCAAGCGUUGUCCGGAAUUACUGGGUGUAAAGGGAGCGCAGGCGGGAGAGCAAGUUGGAAGUGAAAUCUGUGGGCUCAACUCACAAAUUGCUUUCAAAACUGUUUCUCUUGAGUGGUGUAGAGGUAGGCGGAAUUCCCGGUGUAGCGGUGGAAUGCGUAGAUAUCGGGAGGAACACCAGUGGCGAA
Molecule: ribosomal RNA, 609 nt
Filed under: uncultured bacterium
Lineage: Bacteria
Description: bacterial SSU rRNA
Rfam family: Bacterial small subunit ribosomal RNA
Source: RNAcentral